This 253-nucleotide ribosomal RNA is filed under the name uncultured bacterium. RNAcentral describes it as "partial 16S ribosomal RNA". It matches the Rfam family "Bacterial small subunit ribosomal RNA", at positions 524 to 776 of the family's 1533-position model. The record is from RNAcentral.
UACGAAGGGGGCUAGCGUUGCUCGGAAUCACUGGGCGUAAAGCGCACGUAGGCGGCUUUCUAAGUCAGGGGUGAAAUCCUGGAGCUCAACUCCAGAACUGCCUUUGAUACUGGGAAGCUCGAGUCCGGAAGAGGUGAGUGGAACUCCGAGUGUAGAGGUGAAAUUCGUAGAUAUUCGGAAGAACACCAGUGGCGAAGGCGGCCAACUGGUCCGGUUCUGACGCUGAGGCGCGAAAGCGUGGGGAGCAAACAGG